AUUGAACGCUGGCGGCAGGCCUAACACAUGCAAGUCGAACGAGUGGCGGACGGGUGAGUAAUGUCUGGGAAACUGCCCGAUGGAGGGGGAUAACUACUGGAAACGGUAGCUAAUACCGCAUACCAUCGGAUGUGCCCAGAUGGGAUUAGCUGUUAGGUGAGGUAACGGCUCACCUAGGGGACGAUCCCUAGCUGGUCUGAGAGGAUGACCAGACAGACUGGGACUGAGACACGGCCCAGACUCCUACGGUAGGCAUAAGUGGGGAAGAUUGCACAAUGGGCGCAAGCCUGAUGCAGCCAGGCCGCGUGUAUGAAGAAGGCCUUCGGGUUGUAAAGUACUGUCAGCGGGGAGGCGUUACCCGCAGAAGAAGCACCGGCUAACUCCGUGCCAGCAGCCGCGGUAAUAC
RNAcentral lists this ribosomal RNA (406 nucleotides) under uncultured bacterium. Its description in RNAcentral is "partial 16S ribosomal RNA". It matches the Rfam family "Bacterial small subunit ribosomal RNA", at positions 30 to 526 of the family's 1533-position model. The record is from RNAcentral.